CCUACGGGUGGCUGCAGUGGGGAAUAUUGGGCAAUGGGCGCAAGCCUGACCCAGCAACGCCGCGUGAAGGAAGAAGGCUUUCGGGUUGUAAACUUCUUUUGUUAGGGAAGAGUAGAAGACGGUACCUGACGAAUAAGCCACGGCUAACUACGUGACAGCAGCCGCGGUCAUACGUAGGUGGCAAGCGUUGUCCGGAUUUACUGGGUGUAAAGGGCGUGUAGCCGGGUUGGCAAGUCAGUUGUGAAAUGCUGCGGCUUAACCGCAGAACUGCAUUUGAAACUGUUGGUCUUGAGUACUGGAGAGGCAGAUGGAAUUCGUGGUGUAGCGGUGAAAUGCGUAGAUAUUAGGAGGAACACCAGUGGCGAAGGCGGUCUGCUGGACAGCAACUGACGGUGAGGCGCGAAAGCGUGGGGAGCAAACAGGAUUAGAUACCCCUGUAGUC
RNAcentral lists this ribosomal RNA (442 nucleotides) under uncultured bacterium. Its description in RNAcentral is "partial 16S ribosomal RNA". It matches the Rfam family "Bacterial small subunit ribosomal RNA", at positions 338 to 795 of the family's 1533-position model. The record is from RNAcentral.